This 392-nucleotide ribosomal RNA is filed under the name uncultured bacterium. Its description in RNAcentral is "bacterial SSU rRNA". It matches the Rfam family "Bacterial small subunit ribosomal RNA", at positions 411 to 793 of the family's 1533-position model. The record is from RNAcentral.
AAGGCCUUCGGGUUGUAAAGUACUUUUCAGCAGUUGAGGAAGGUGGAUAUGUUAAUAGCAUAUUCAUUUGACGUUUAGCUGCAGAAGAAGCACCGGCUAACUCCGUGCCAGCAGCCGCGGUAAUACGGAGGGUGCGAGCGUUAAUCGGAAUUACUGGGCGUAAAGCGCAUGCAGGUGGUUUGUUAAGUCAGAUGUGAAAGCCCGGGGCUCAACCUCGGAAUUGCAUUUGAAACUGGCAAACUAGAGUACUGUAGAGGGGGUAGAAUUUCAGGUGUAGCGGUGAAAUGCGUAGAGAUCUGAAGGAAUACCGGUGGCGAAGGCGGCCCCCUGGACAGAUACUGACACUCAGAUGCGAAAGCGUGGGGAGCAAACAGGAUUAGAUACCCUGGUAG